Megalobrama amblycephala (Wuchang bream) is the source of this 871-nucleotide long non-coding RNA. RefSeq lists it as uncharacterized. NCBI's taxonomy places the organism in Eukaryota, Metazoa, Chordata, Actinopteri, Cypriniformes, Xenocyprididae. The record is from RefSeq and is a predicted model, not a curated record. The transcript has 3 exons.
UUUUAUUGCAUGUUAAAUUUGUCACUUUUUGAGGGUGAGCAAAAACGCUCCGUUUUUGUGUGUGUCCCUUUAAAUGCAAAUGAGCCGCUGCUCUCAAGAAGAGGGCAGAGUUUCAAGAGCUCCUGUUAGCACUGCAGCGCCGAUUACCUCACACAGACUCACUUAAAAUGUUAGAAACUGUCCAGCCUUUUAUGUUCAAAACGGAGUCGGACAAUGAUGGAGAGACUCAAGAAGAAGUGACAACAUGUAGAAUGCAACAGGACGUUUCUAAAUGGUCCUCUGAACAGAAGGCCAUGACAGUAGAGCAUGUGCACGUACAAGCUCACAGACAGUCACACAAAUAGUCAAGUGGUUUAUGAAAAGGGAAGAUGAGUCCGCACGCAAGCAAAGGAACACACACAUCUGCUGAAUGUGUCAGUGGGAGCAGGGAUUCUGGGUAGAGAUUUACAGAUCCACAGAUCCACAUGCACCACCAACAUGAGAAACAAAAAAACAUUUAAUGAAAAAAAAUAUUUUUAAGCAUAUGUUUAACAAUGUUGCUUGUAGUGGUCUUACGCCUGCAGAAAUAAACUUUCAGUUUUAGGCAACAACUGUGUCUUGCACAUGAGUUUUUUUUUUCUGUAUAUGGUUCAUAUAACAGUUAAAGCAACAAUGCUGCUAAGAUUGUUCCACAGUUUCUUUGUGCUUAGUUUUAAUUCAUACAUUAAUUAUAAGAUCAUGAGCACUUAAUUCAAGAUCAUUUGCUUAGAAUGAACUUAUUUAUUCCAUCCUUUCUUUUUUAAAAUCACAUUUACGUCAGAGUUCAGUGAAGUUAUUGUAUCAUGGGAGUUUCCCUAAAAUCUGUUUCUCUUUUGCUCUGUUUGCUUUUCAU